AUGGUUGGCUCACCGAUGUUCAAUCUUCAUUUAUAUCUCCAUGCUAAUUUUAGAAACUACAAGUUUAAGUUUGAGAUAUACGGGGAAAGUGGAUCCAUUCAUCCUGAUUAUUCAUCCCACAGAUUUGAUGGCUAUCAGUCAAAGUUGGUCUCUUCUCCAGACAGCCUGUAUCUUGUACAUAUUCAGAGAUUAAUUACUGGUUUACAUCUGUUGUAUGCGUGCAUGCUUUCUUAUUUUUGGAAUAAAUUCUCUAAUUUACUCCAUACCCUAUAUGGAUUCCACAUGCGCACUAAUUUUUUAGAAGGGAUUUAG
Molecule: ribosomal RNA, 312 nt
Filed under: Triticum aestivum (bread wheat)
Lineage: Eukaryota; Viridiplantae; Streptophyta; Magnoliopsida; Poales; Poaceae
Description: partial small subunit ribosomal RNA
Source: RNAcentral